RNAcentral lists this ribosomal RNA (468 nucleotides) under uncultured bacterium. RNAcentral's name for it is "partial 16S ribosomal RNA". It matches the Rfam family "Bacterial small subunit ribosomal RNA", at positions 28 to 507 of the family's 1533-position model. The record is from RNAcentral.
GACGAACGCUGGCGGCGUGCUUAACACAUGCAAGUCGAACGGAAAGGCCCUGCUUUCGUGGUGUGCUCGAGUGGCGAACGGGUGAGUAACACGUGAGUAACCUGCCCUUGACUUUGGGAUAACUUCAGGAAACUGGGGCUAAUACCGGAUAGGAGCUCCUGCUGCAGGGUGGGGGUUGGAAAGUUUCGGCGGUUGGGGAUGGACUCGCGGCUUAUCGGCUUGUUGGUGGGGUAGUGGCUUACCAAGGCUUUGACGGGUAGCCGGCCUGAGAGGGUGACCGGCCACAUUGGGACUGAGAUACGGCCCAGACUCCUACGGGAGGCAGCGGUGGGAAGUAUUGCACAGUGGGCGGACGCCUGAUGCGGCAACGCCGCGUGCGGAAUGACGGCCUUCGGGUUGUAAACCGCUUUCGCCUGUGACGAAGCGUGAGUGACGGUAAUGAGUAAAGAAGCACCGGCUAACUACGUG